RNAcentral lists this ribosomal RNA (367 nucleotides) under uncultured Staphylococcus sp. RNAcentral's name for it is "bacterial SSU rRNA". It matches the Rfam family "Bacterial small subunit ribosomal RNA", at positions 69 to 427 of the family's 1533-position model. Lineage: Bacteria; Bacillati; Bacillota; Bacilli; Caryophanales; Staphylococcaceae. The record is from RNAcentral.
ACAAUAAGGAGCUUGCUCCUUUGACGUUAGCGGCGGACGGGUGAGUAACACGUGGGUAACCUACCUAUAAGACUGGAAUAACUCCGGGAAACCGGGGCUAAUGCCGGAUAAUAUUUAGAACCGCAUGGUUCUAAAGUGAAAGAUGGUUUUACUAUCACUUAUAGAUGGACCCGCGCCGUAUUAGCUAGUUGGUGGGGUAAUGGCUUACCAAGGCAACGAUACGUAGCCGACCUGAGAGGGUGAUCGGCCACACUGGAACUGAGACACGGUCCAGACUCCUACGGGAGGCAGCAGUAGGGAAUCUUCCGCAAUGGGCGAAAGCCUGACGGAGCAACGCCGCGUGAGUGAUGAAGGUCUUCGGAUCGUA